GACGAACGCUGGCGGCGUGCUUAACACAUGCAAGUCGAACGGAAAGGCCCUGCUUUUGUGGGGUGCUCGAGUGGCGAGCGGGUGAGUAACACGUGAGUAACCUGCCCUUGACUUUGGGAUAACUUCAGGAAACUGGGCUAAUACCGGAUAGGAGCUCCUGCUGCAUGGUGGGGGUUGGAAAGUUUCGGCGGUUGGGGAUGGACUCGCGGCUUAUCAGCUUGUUGGUGGGGUAGUGGCUUACCAAGGCUUUGACGGGUAGCCGGCCUGAGAGGGUGACCGGCCACAUUGGGACUGAGAUACGGCCCAGACUCCUACGGGAGGCAGCAGUGGGGAAUAUUGCACAAUGGGCGGAAGCCUGAUGCAGCAACGCCGCGUGCGGGAUGACGGCCUUCGGGUUGUAAACCGCUUUCGCCUGUGACGAAGCGUGAGUGACGGUAAUGGGUAAAGAAGCACCGGCUAACUACGUG
RNAcentral lists this ribosomal RNA (467 nucleotides) under uncultured bacterium. RNAcentral describes it as "partial 16S ribosomal RNA". It matches the Rfam family "Bacterial small subunit ribosomal RNA", at positions 28 to 507 of the family's 1533-position model. The record is from RNAcentral.